GCCGAUCAGGCUGUUGGUGAGGUAAUGGCCCACCAAACCUAAAACCGGUACGGGCUCUGAGAGGAGAAGCCCGGAGAUGGGCACUGAGACAAGGGCCCAGGCCCUAUGGGGCGCAGCAGGCGCGAAAACUCUGCAAUAGGCGAAAGCUUGACAGGGUUAUUCUGAGUGAUUUCCGCUAAGGAGUCUUUUGGCACCUCUAAAAAUGGUGCAGAAUAAGGGGUGGGCAAGCCUGGUGUCAGCCGCCGCGGUAAUACCAGCACCCCGAGUGGUCGGGACGAUUAUUGGGCCUAAAGCAUCCGUAGCCGGUUCUACAAGUCUUCCGUUAAAUCCAUCUGCUUAACAGAUGGGCUGCGGAGGAUACUAUAGAGCUAGGAGGCGGGAGAGGCAAGCGGUACUUAGUGGGUAGGGGUAAAAUCCGUUGAUCCACUGAAGACCACCAGUGGCGAAGGCGGCUUGCCAGAACGCGCUCGACGGUGAGGGAUGAAAGCUGGGGGAGCAAACCGGAUUAGAUACCCGGGUAGUCCCAGCUGUAAACGAUGCAGACUCGGUGAUGAAUAGGCUUCGUGCCUUUUCAGUGCCGCAGGGAAGCCGUUAAGUCUGCCGCCUGGGGAGUACGGUCGCAAGACUGAAACUUAA
This 636-nucleotide ribosomal RNA is filed under the name uncultured archaeon. Its description in RNAcentral is "bacterial SSU rRNA". It matches the Rfam family "Archaeal small subunit ribosomal RNA", at positions 220 to 859 of the family's 1478-position model. The record is from RNAcentral.